GGAGAGAUGGCCGAGCGGCUGAAGGCGGGCGCCUCGAAAGCGUCUGUGCCCUCUACGGGUACCAAGGGUUCGAAUCCCUUUCUCUCCGCCA
RNAcentral lists this transfer RNA (91 nucleotides) under Candidatus Sumerlaeota bacterium. RNAcentral describes it as "tRNA-Ser". It matches the Rfam family "tRNA". From Rfam's summary of the family: Transfer RNA (tRNA) molecules are approximately 80 nucleotides in length. Lineage: Bacteria; Candidatus Sumerlaeota. The record is from RNAcentral. RNAcentral also lists the same sequence under 1 other name.